GUGGGGGAUAUUGCACAAUGGAGGAAACUCUGAUGCAGCGACGCCGCGUGAGUGAAGAAGUAUUUCGGUAUGUAAAGCUCUAUCAGCAGGGAAGAAAGGCCCGUAAGGGAGAUGACGGUACCUGACUAAGAAGCCCCGGCUAACUACGUGCCAGCAGCCGCGGUAAUACGUAGGGGGCAAGCGUUAUCCGGAUUUACUGGGUGUAAAGGGAGCGCAGACGGUCAUGUAAGUCUGAAGUGAAACCCCACGGCUCAACCGUGGGCUUGCUUUGGAAACUAUAUGACUAGAGUACUGGAGAGGUAAGCGGAAUUCCUAGUGUAGCGGUGAAAUGCGUAGAUAUUAGGAGGAACAUCGGUGGCGAAGGCGGCUUACUGGACAGCAACUGACGUUGAGGCUCGAAGGCGUGGGGAGCAAACAGG
This 419-nucleotide ribosomal RNA is filed under the name uncultured rumen bacterium. RNAcentral describes it as "bacterial SSU rRNA". It matches the Rfam family "Bacterial small subunit ribosomal RNA", at positions 354 to 776 of the family's 1533-position model. The record is from RNAcentral.